Molecule: ribosomal RNA, 406 nt
Filed under: uncultured bacterium
Lineage: Bacteria
Description: partial 16S ribosomal RNA
Rfam family: Bacterial small subunit ribosomal RNA
Source: RNAcentral
AUUGAACGCUGGCGGCAGGCCUAACACAUGCAAGUCGAGCGAGCGGCGGAAGGGUGAGUAAUGUCUGGGAAACUGCCUGAUGGAGGGGGAUAACUACUGGAAACGGUAGCUAAUACCGCAUACCAUCAGAUGUGCCCAGAUGGGAUGUGCUAGUAGGUGGGGUAACGGCUCACCUCGGCGACGAUCCCUAGCUGGUCUGAGAGGAUGACCAGACACACUGGAACUGAGACACGUGCCAUACUCCUACGGGAGGCAGCGGUGGGGACUAUUGCACAAUGGGCGCAAGCCUGAUGCAGCCAUGCCGCGUGUGGGAAGAAGGCCUUCGGGUUGUAAAGCACUUUCAGCGGGGAGGCGUUACCCGCAGAAGAAGCACCGGCUAACUCCGUGCCAGCAGCCGCGGUAAUAC